This 433-nucleotide ribosomal RNA is filed under the name uncultured bacterium. RNAcentral describes it as "partial 16S ribosomal RNA". It matches the Rfam family "Bacterial small subunit ribosomal RNA", at positions 29 to 507 of the family's 1533-position model. The record is from RNAcentral.
AGCGAACGCUGGCGGCAGGCCUAACACAUGCAAGUCGAACGAACUCUUCGGAGUUAGUGGCGGACGGGUGAGUAACACGUGGGAACGUGCCUUUAGGUUCGGAAUAACUCAGGGAAACUUGUGCUAAUACCGAAUGUGCCCUUCGGGGGAAAGAUUUAUCGCCUUUAGAGCGGCCCGCGUCUGAUUAGCUAGUUGGUGAGGUAAAGGCUCACCAAGGCGACGAUCAGUAGCUGGUCUGAGAGGAUGAUCAGCCACAUUGGGACUGAGACACGGCCCAAACUCCUACGGGAGGCAGCAGUGGGGAAUCUUGCGCAAUGGGCGAAAGCCUGACGCAGCCAUGCCGCGUGAAUGAUGAAGGUCUUAGGAUUGUAAAAUUCUUUCACCGGGGACGAUAAUGACGGUACCCGGAGAAGAAGCCCCGGCUAACUACGUG